This is a long non-coding RNA of Tupaia belangeri chinensis (Chinese tree shrew), 205 nucleotides long. RefSeq lists it as uncharacterized. The transcript has 2 exons. The record is from RefSeq and is a predicted model, not a curated record. NCBI's taxonomy places the organism in Eukaryota, Metazoa, Chordata, Mammalia, Scandentia, Tupaiidae.
AGCCAGUGUUCGGGAGGCAUGGCCUGCAAAUGUCCCUGGGCGAACAGUGGUGCGGUGGACUGUGCUGGAUAAAAUUUCUUACAGAAGGCCAGCACGUAAUUGGUAGAAACUCUCUGGCUAAGAAUAAAGAAGUAACAUAAGAAGAGCAAGUUAUAUGAUAGUCCUCUUUCUACAAAUUCAAUAUUAUGACUGAAAAUCUUAAACU